This 315-nucleotide long non-coding RNA is filed under the name Mytilus galloprovincialis (Mediterranean mussel). The record is from RNAcentral. Lineage: Eukaryota; Metazoa; Mollusca; Bivalvia; Mytilida; Mytilidae.
AGAGAUUAUGACACAAUGUUAACUGUUGUACUCCCAUUAUAAGUAAAAUAACAAAAAUACCAAACUCUGAGGAUAACCUAAAACGGAAAGUUUUUUUGUUUCAAAUAGCAAAAUCUAAAGCUAAAUCAACACAUCAAACAAAUGGAAAGCAAUAGUCAUGUUCUUGACAUUUGACAGGUAUUUCAUUAUGUAGAAAAACAACUUUACAUAGACCACCUGAUAUCUUAUAAAAAACAGUAGUGGCAAAACGGCAGUUCUAAUAUCAAAAGAAACGAUAUGAGCAUGGUUUUAAACUUGGAAGUAGUUGAGUAACAU